This 256-nucleotide ribosomal RNA is filed under the name uncultured bacterium. RNAcentral describes it as "partial 16S ribosomal RNA". It matches the Rfam family "Bacterial small subunit ribosomal RNA", at positions 521 to 776 of the family's 1533-position model. The record is from RNAcentral.
UAAUACGAAGGGGGCUAGCGUUGCUCGGAAUCACUGGGCGUAAAGGGUGCGUAGGCGGGUCUUUAAGUCAGGGGUGAAAUCCUGGAGCUCAACUCCAGAACUGCCUUUGAUACUGAAGAUCUUGAGUUCGGGAGAGGUGAGUGGAACUGCGAGUGUAGAGGUGAAAUUCGUAGAUAUUCGCAAGAACACCAGUGGCGAAGGCGGCUCACUGGCCCGAUACUGACGCUGAGGCACGAAAGCGUGGGGAGCAAACAGG